CGCCUUGCCAGCCCGCUCAGAAACUCAAAGGAAUUGACGGGACCCCGCACAAGCGGUGGAUCAUGUUGUUAAUUCGAUGAUACGCGAAGAACCUUACCAGGUCUUGACAUCCCCCGCGAUGCUUUAGAGAUAAAGCGGAGGUAUUCGGGGAGACAGGUGGUGCAUGGUUGUCGUCAGCUCGUGUCGUGAGAUGUUGGGUUAAGUCCCGCAACGAGCGCAACCCCUAUUGCUAGUUACCAUCAUUAAGUUGGGGACUCUAGCGAGACUGCCAGUGAUAAACUGGAGGAAGGUGGGGACGACGUCAAGUCAUCAUGGCCCUUAUGUCCUGGGCUACACACGUGCUACAAUGGCCGGUACAGAGUGAAGCGAAACCGCGAGGUGAAGCAAAACGCAGAAAGCCGGUCUCAGUACGGAUUGGAGUCUGAAACUCGACUUCAUGAAGUUGGAAUCGCUAGUAAUCGCGCAUCAGCAUGGCGCGGUGAAUACGUUCCCGGGCCUU
This 499-nucleotide ribosomal RNA is filed under the name uncultured Acholeplasma sp. RNAcentral describes it as "bacterial SSU rRNA". It matches the Rfam family "Bacterial small subunit ribosomal RNA", at positions 903 to 1382 of the family's 1533-position model. The record is from RNAcentral. Lineage: Bacteria; Bacillati; Mycoplasmatota; Mollicutes; Acholeplasmatales; Acholeplasmataceae.